AACGUCCAAUCAACGUCCAAUUAUAACAUCAUUUGACUUUGAUCUUUAGUUUGUUUUUAGGUUGUGACAUUAACUAACCUAAACCCAACGUCGAGCCAACGUCUCAGGCCAACGUCAGAUUGACAUCAAAUACUGAUGUUUUGUCGUCAGGUAUGGCAACCAUAAUCCAACGUUUUCUAGACAUCAUAAUGGCAACAUCCACACAACGUCAAAUUAAAACAUCAUUUGAUGUUGAUCUGUAGUUAGUUUUAGGUUGUGGCAUUAACUAACCAAAAUCCAACAUCAAGACAACGUCUCAAGCCAACGUCAGAUUGACAUCAAAUACUGAUGUUUAGUCGUCAGGUAUGGCAACCAAAAUCCAAUGUCUUCAAGACGUCAUAAUGGUAACGUCCAAUCAACGUCAAAUUAUAACG
Cyprinus carpio carpio is the source of this 413-nucleotide long non-coding RNA. The record is from Ensembl. NCBI's taxonomy places the organism in Eukaryota, Metazoa, Chordata, Actinopteri, Cypriniformes, Cyprinidae.